AUUGAACGCUGGCGGCAUGCCUUACACAUGCAAGUCGAACGGCAGCACGGGAGCAAUCCUGGUGGCGAGUGGCGAACAGGUGAGUAAUAUAUCGGAACGUGCCCGGUCGUGGGGGAUAACGUAGCGAAAGCUACGCUAAUACCGCAUACGAUCUACGGAUGAAAGCGGGGGAUCGCAAGACCUCGCGCGAUUGGAGCGGCCGAUAUCAGAUUAGGUAGUUGGUGAGGUAAAGGCUCACCAAGCCGACGAUCUGUAGCUGGUCUGAGAGGACGACCAGCCACACUGGGACUGAGACACGGCCCAGACUCCUACGGGAGGCAGCAGUGGGGAAUUUUGGACAAUGGGCGCAAGCCUGAUCCAGCAAUGCCGCGUGCAGGAUGAAGGCCUUCGGUUG
This 394-nucleotide ribosomal RNA is filed under the name uncultured bacterium. RNAcentral describes it as "bacterial SSU rRNA". It matches the Rfam family "Bacterial small subunit ribosomal RNA", at positions 30 to 425 of the family's 1533-position model. The record is from RNAcentral.